RNAcentral lists this ribosomal RNA (490 nucleotides) under Dendropsophus bipunctatus (two-spotted treefrog). RNAcentral's name for it is "partial small subunit ribosomal RNA". It matches the Rfam family "Bacterial small subunit ribosomal RNA", at positions 794 to 1522 of the family's 1533-position model. Lineage: Eukaryota; Metazoa; Chordata; Amphibia; Anura; Hylidae. The record is from RNAcentral.
GCCUAGCCGUAAACUUUUAUUUACACCACUUCCGCCAGGGAACUACGAGCAAAGCUUAAAACCCAAAGGACUUGACGGUACCCCAUAUCCACCUAGAGGAGCCUGUCCUAUAAUCGAUAACCCCCGCUUAACCUCACCAUUUUUAGCCCAUCAGCCUGUAUACCUCCGUCGUCAGCUUACCCCGUGAGCGCCAACUAGUGAGCUUAAUGCCCCUACACCAACACGUCAGGUCAAGGUGCAGCAUAUAGAAUGGGAAGAGAUGGGCUACACUGUCUACUUUAGAUCAUACGAAAGACUAUUUAUGAAACCUAGUCAGAAGGCGGAUUUAGAAGUAAAGAAAGACCAAAAUGCUCUCUUUAACUCGGCACUGGGGUGUGUACACACCGCCCGUCACCCUCUUCAAAGUCUCAAUUAAGUUUAUAACAUCAUUAAACACUACAGAAGAGGCAAGUCGUAACACGGUAAGUAUACCGGAAGGUGUGCUUGGAAA